This 305-nucleotide ribosomal RNA is filed under the name uncultured bacterium. RNAcentral describes it as "bacterial SSU rRNA". It matches the Rfam family "Bacterial small subunit ribosomal RNA", at positions 334 to 636 of the family's 1533-position model. The record is from RNAcentral.
CUUGCCUACGGGACGCAGCAGUGAGGAAUAUUGGUCAAUGGGCGGGAGCCUGAACCAGCCAAGCCGCGUGAAGGAAGAAGGCGCCAGGCGUCGUAAACUUCUUUUGUCGGGGAACAAAGGGCGCCACGCGUGGCGUUGUGAGUGUACCCGAAGAAAAAGCAUCGGCUAACUCCGUGCCAGCAGCCGCGGUAAUACGGGGGAUGCGAGCGUUAUCCGGAUUUAUUGGGUUUAAAGGGUGCGUAGGCGGCGCUUCAGGUCAGCGGUGAAGUACCGGGGCUCAACCCCGGGGCUGCCGUUGAAACCGG